CUUCCACCCAUGUGUGUAGGACCACAAAGGAUCACCAUUAAAUUUGGCAUGGAUCUUUAGAAAAGUUAUCAUAUGGGUGUGAGACUUGACUUUUUUGGAGAUCCGUGUCAAAUUUAAUGGUGAUCUUUUAAGGUCCUACACAUAUGGCUGGGAG
This 154-nucleotide microRNA precursor is filed under the name Amborella trichopoda. RNAcentral describes it as "MIR8565 microRNA precursor family". It matches the Rfam family "MIR8565 microRNA precursor family". The record is from Rfam by way of RNAcentral. Lineage: Eukaryota; Viridiplantae; Streptophyta; Magnoliopsida; Amborellales; Amborellaceae.